GUCGCCUACGGGGGGCAGCAGUGGGGAAUAUUGCACAAUGGGGGAAACCCUGAUGCAGCAACGCCGCGUGAAGGAAGACGGUUUUCGGAUUGUAAACUUCUGUUCUUAGUGAAGAAGAAUGACGGUAGCUAAGGAGCAAGCCACGGCUAACUACGUGCCAGCAGCCGCGGUAAUACGGAGGAUGCGAGCGUUAUCCGGAUUUAUUGGGUUUAAAGGGUGCGUAGGCGGGCUUUUAAGUCAGCGGUAAAAAUUCGGGGCUCAACCCCGUCCGGCCGUUGAAACUGGGGGCCUUG
RNAcentral lists this ribosomal RNA (293 nucleotides) under uncultured bacterium. RNAcentral's name for it is "partial 16S ribosomal RNA". It matches the Rfam family "Bacterial small subunit ribosomal RNA", at positions 334 to 644 of the family's 1533-position model. The record is from RNAcentral.